This 497-nucleotide ribosomal RNA is filed under the name uncultured bacterium. RNAcentral describes it as "partial 16S ribosomal RNA". It matches the Rfam family "Bacterial small subunit ribosomal RNA", at positions 28 to 507 of the family's 1533-position model. The record is from RNAcentral.
GAUGAACGCUGGCGGCGUGCCUAAUACAUGCAAGUCGAGCGAACGGACGAGAAGCUUGCUUCUCUGAUGUUAGCGGCGGACGGGUGAGUAACACGUGGAUAACCUACCUAUAAGACUGGGAUAACUUCGGGAAACCGUAGCUAAUACCGGAUAAUAUUUUGAACCGCAUGGUUCAAAAGUGAAAGACGGUCUUGCUGUCACUUAUAGAUGGAUCCGCGCUGCAUUAGCUAGUUGGUAAGGUAACGGCUUACCAAGGCAACGAUGCAUAGCCGACGUGAGAGGGUGAUCGGCCACACUGGAACUGAGACACGGUCCAGACUCCUACGGGAGGCAGCAGUAGGGAAUCUUCCGCAAUGGGCGAAAGCCUGACGGAGCAACGCCGCGUGAGUGAUGAAGGUCUUCGGAUCGUAAAACUCUGUUAUUAGGGAAGAACAUAUGUGUAAGUAACUGUGCACAUCUUGACGGUACCUAAUCAGAAAGCCACGGCUAACUACGUG